Molecule: ribosomal RNA, 254 nt
Filed under: uncultured bacterium
Lineage: Bacteria
Description: partial 16S ribosomal RNA
Rfam family: Bacterial small subunit ribosomal RNA
Source: RNAcentral
CGGGGUGAGUAACGCGUGGGCAACCUGCCGUAUACAGGGGAAUAAUCACUGGAAACGGUGACUAAUACCGCAUGUCAUCACAAGGAGGCAUCUUUUUGUGAGAAAAGGAGCAAUCCGGUAUACGAUGGGCCCGCGUCUGAUUAGCUAGUUGGUGAGAUAAUAGCCCACCAAGGCGACGAUCAGUAGCCGACCUGAGAGGGUGAUCGGCCACAUUGGGACUGAGACACGGCCCAAACUCCUACGGGAGGCAGCAG